This 1369-nucleotide ribosomal RNA is filed under the name uncultured bacterium. RNAcentral's name for it is "bacterial SSU rRNA". It matches the Rfam family "Bacterial small subunit ribosomal RNA", at positions 28 to 1381 of the family's 1533-position model. The record is from RNAcentral.
GACGAACGCUGGCGGCGUGCCUAAUACAUGCAAGUAGAACGCUGAAGAGAGGAGCUUGCUCUUCUUGGAUGAGUUGCGAACGGGUGAGUAACGCGUAGGUAACCUGCCUUGUAGCGGGGGAUAACUAUUGGAAACGAUAGCUAAUACCGCAUAACAAUGGAUGACACAUGUCAUUUAUUUGAAAGGGGCAAUUGCUCCACUACAAGAUGGACCUGCGUUGUAUUAGCUAGUAGGUGAGGUAACGGCUCACCUAGGCGACGAUACAUAGCCGACCUGAGAGGGUGAUCGGCCACACUGGGACUGAGACACGGCCCAGACUCCUACGGGAGGCAGCAGUAGGGAAUCUUCGGCAAUGGGGGCAACCCUGACCGAGCAACGCCGCGUGAGUGAAGAAGGUUUUCGGAUCGUAAAGCUCUGUUGUAAGUCAAGAACGAGUGUGAGAGUGGAAAAUUCACACUGUGACGGUAGCUUACCAGAAAGGGACGGCUAACUACGUGCCAGCAGCCGCGGUAAUACGUAGGUCCCGAGCGUUGUCCGGAUUUAUUGGGCGUAAAGCGAGCGCAGGCGGUUUGAUAAGUCUGAAGUUAAAGGCUGUGGCUCAACCAUAGUUCGCUUUGGAAACUGUCAAACUUGAGUGCAGAAGGGGAGAGUGGAAUUCCAUGUGUAGCGGUGAAAUGCGUAGAUAUAUGGAGGAACACCGGUGGCGAAAGCGGCUCUCUGGUCUGUAACUGACGCUGAGGCUCGAAAGCGUGGGGAGCGAACAGGAUUAGAUACCCUGGUAGUCCACGCCGUAAACGAUGAGUGCUAGGUGUUGGAUCCUUUCCGGGAUUCAGUGCCGCAGCUAACGCAUUAAGCACUCCGCCUGGGGAGUACGACCGCAAGGUUGAAACUCAAAGGAAUUGACGGGGGCCCGCACAAGCGGUGGAGCAUGUGGUUUAAUUCGAAGCAACGCGAAGAACCUUACCAGGUCUUGACAUCCUGAUGCUAUUUCUAGAGAUAGAAAGUUACUUCGGUACAUCGGUGACAGGUGGUGCAUGGUUGUCGUCAGCUCGUGUCGUGAGAUGUUGGGUUAAGUCCCGCAACGAGCGCAACCCCUAUUGUUAGUUGCCAUCAUUCAGUUGGGCACUCUAGCGAGACUGCCGGUAAUAAACCGGAGGAAGGUGGGGAUGACGUCAAAUCAUCAUGCCCCUUAUGACCUGGGCUACACACGUGCUACAAUGGUUGGUACAACGAGUUGCGAGUCGGUGACGGCAAGCUAAUCUCUUAAAGCCAAUCUCAGUUCGGAUUGUAGGCUGCAACUCGCCUACAUGAAGUCGGAAUCGCUAGUAAUCGCGGAUCAGCACGCCGCGGUGAAUACGUUCCCGGGCCU